GUGUCAGCCGCCGCGGUAAUACGAAGGGGGCUAGCGUUGCUCGGAAUGACUGGGCGUAAAGGGCGCGUAGGCGGUUUGGUUCGUUAGGCGUGAAAUUCCUGGGCUCAACCUAGGGACUGCGCUUAAUACAGCCAGGCUUGAGUUCGGAAGAGGGUAGUGGAAUUCCCAGUGUAGAGGUGAAAUUCGUAGAUAUUGGGAAGAACACCGGUGGCGAAGGCGGCUACCUGGUCCGAUACUGACGCUGAGGCGCGAAAGCGUGGGGAGCAAACAGGAUUAGAUACCCUGGUAGUCCACGCUGUAAACGAUGUGUGCUGGAUGUUGGGUAACUUAGUUACUCAGUGUCGUAGCUAACGCGAUAAGCACACCGCCUGGGGAGUACGGCCGCAAGGUUGAAACUUAAAUGAAUUGACGGGG
Molecule: ribosomal RNA, 414 nt
Filed under: uncultured prokaryote
Description: bacterial SSU rRNA
Rfam family: Bacterial small subunit ribosomal RNA
Source: RNAcentral